Molecule: ribosomal RNA, 513 nt
Filed under: Aethaliopsis melanospora
Lineage: Eukaryota; Evosea; Eumycetozoa; Physariida; Physaraceae
Description: Badhamia melanospora SSU rRNA
Rfam family: Eukaryotic small subunit ribosomal RNA
Source: RNAcentral
UCUCUCUGAAUCUGCGAACGGCUCCGCAAACCAGUUGUAAACCAUAGCAAGCAUGCCUUGGGUCCGCCGCAAGGUGGAUCCUUGGCGAUAAGGAUAACCCUGGUAAUUCUGAGGCUAAUACAUGAACGUAACCCCUGGCUGACGGGCAACUGGAGGCUGGGGACCGUGCGAGUAGACGCAAAGUUUAUUGGGAGUAGUCGCACAGUAAGACCACCAUACCAAACGGUAUCUGCUUCGCUGCCUCACGGCGGCUGGUGGUGUCCGGGUGGCUCUUGCAAGGUGCUUCUGACCUAUCAACUAGAUGGCAGCGUAACGGACAUGCUAUGGUGACAACGGGUACAGAGGAUAAGGGUUCGAUCCUGGAGAGUGGGCCUGAGAGAUUGCUCACACUUCUAAGGAAGGCAGCAGGCGCGCAACGUUCCCCUUGGGCAAUGCUCGAGGGCGUUAGGGGACAUAUGAAUGUCUGCCUUAUGGUGGACAAUUCAAAUGGGUCUGUUCUAAACAGCCUCUCGA